This 253-nucleotide ribosomal RNA is filed under the name uncultured bacterium. RNAcentral's name for it is "partial 16S ribosomal RNA". It matches the Rfam family "Bacterial small subunit ribosomal RNA", at positions 524 to 776 of the family's 1533-position model. The record is from RNAcentral.
UACGGGGGGGGCAAGCGUUGUUCGGAAUUACUGGGCGUAAAGGGCUCGUAGGCUGCCAACUAAGUCAGACGUGAAAUCCCCAGGCUCAACCUGGGAACUGCGUCUGAUACUGGAUGGCUUGAAUCCGGGAGAGGGAUGCAGAAUUCCAGGUGUAGCGGUGAAAUGCGUAGAUAUCUGGAGGAAUACCGGUGGCGAAGGCGGCAUCCUGGACCGGCAUUGACGCUGAGGAGCGAAAGCCAGGGGAGCAAACGGG